This is a long non-coding RNA of Triticum urartu, 644 nucleotides long. RefSeq lists it as uncharacterized. The record is from RefSeq and is a predicted model, not a curated record. Lineage: Eukaryota; Viridiplantae; Streptophyta; Magnoliopsida; Poales; Poaceae.
UAGAACAUCAUGAAGCGCUCUUCUUCUUCUUCCUCCUCCACUGCACAAACUAUGGCAAUCAUGGCUAUUUUAUUACUAUGCUACUUCUUCUUCUUCCUCCUCCACUGCACAAACUAUGGCAAUCAUGGCUAUUUUAUUGGUUCAUCCAGACGGUUUCCGCCCUGUGAUGGGUCCUCCAUCGCCGCGGCCCGGGAAAUCCAUUAGUUGCGCCCAUGGAUGCCGCCACCUUGACACUACGCCACCGGCAACACUAGCGCCGCACCGCAAGAUCCUGCAGCGAGCAGCUGCCAACGUGCCCCUAAUGUAUGAAGCACCACCGAUGCCAUGAGCACCGGGUCUCUUUUUCUUGCCGCGACAUGUCGAGCUCUCGGUUAUUUCAUGAUUUUCCUUGUCGUCUUCGAAUCACACUGCGUGAAAGGGUGUUUGUGCGACUGGUAUAUAAGUAAAGACUCUGGAAAACAAAUAAUGAACGGAUAUGGUUGAAUCGUUCUUACAACUGUAUAAACAAUAUCUAGAUAGGAUGUUAUUACGCGAAAAUGCAUAGGUGAACAUGGCGCCACGCGAGGUCUUUAUCUCACCAUCCAUUUCUCGCAGAUUUGUAUCGUAUUCAUACCAUAAGCAGUGCAUAUCACGUAUAUUGAAUA